GACGAACGCUGGCGGUGUGCUUAACACAUGCAAGUGGUGCGACGAACCAGAGCUUGCUCUGGGGCAAAGCCGCGAACGGGUGAGUAACACGUGGGUAAUCUACCCCGAUGACCGGGACAACCCGAGGAAACUCGGGCUAAUACCGGAUGUGGUACGGAGACAUAAGUCUCUUUACUAAAGGUAGCUUCGGCUUCCGCAUUGGGAGGGGCCCGCGGCCCAUUAGCUAGUUGGUGGGGUCAAGGCCUACCAAGGCAACGAUGGUAGCUGGUCUGAGAGGACGAUCAGCCACACUGGGACUGAGCACGGCCCAGACUCCUAC
Molecule: ribosomal RNA, 319 nt
Filed under: uncultured bacterium
Lineage: Bacteria
Description: bacterial SSU rRNA
Rfam family: Bacterial small subunit ribosomal RNA
Source: RNAcentral